This is a long non-coding RNA of Cyprinus carpio (common carp), 1424 nucleotides long. RefSeq lists it as uncharacterized. Lineage: Eukaryota; Metazoa; Chordata; Actinopteri; Cypriniformes; Cyprinidae. The record is from RefSeq and is a predicted model, not a curated record. The transcript is spliced from 3 exons.
AUUUCAGACCCUGUGGCAUCUGAUUAUUAUAUGAUUAUAUAGCUGUGCUCAUGUUUUAACUCAAAUGUUUUAGUUUGACCAUUAACAUUAUUACAAAACAUCAUGCUGGUUUUAGCAGAUGCUGGAUGGCUCUCUGGUGUUUAUCUCUUAGGAAGUUUUGGGAAACUCACACAUUUAAUUGGGGACUAAAGUUUCUGAGGUGUUGCACCCUGUUCUCUAAUUUUUAAUUUCACUUCCUACAGUCUGUUAAUUCUCAGCUUUAACGAGAGCUGAAAUAACCCUGAUGAGAUAAUUAAUGUGAGUAAUUAUGGCUCAUCAAAUAGUACUACUGUCAGAGUGUUAAUGAGAUGAGGAAAAACCGUUGUACAAACCUGCGGCACUGCGUCCAUACAUACACAAACAGCAUUCUCCACAUUCAUUAUUAUGAACUUCAGUUUUAAAAAGUCAGUGUAUCAACUGGGCAUGCACUAUUUUUUUAAAUAGAUACUUGUGAGAUCUGUGUGUUUGUUUUCCUCCCCAUGUGCUCUCAGUGACCCCGUCUCUCAUUGAUUGUGUGAUUUGCUUCAGGUGUGUCUUUGUAAUUACCCUCGUUACCCCAUGCAUUUAAGUCCCAGUCUGUGCUGUCUGUCUUUGUCGGGUCUUAAUGUUAUGUAUGUGUGGAUUACGUUAAAGGCUGUUACUUUGAUCCUCGGUGGUCCCGCCGACACAGUUGUGCCAAUAUACAGAGGAAGUCUGACGUGAUGAAGCGCGCUGAAGUUCACAGCAUAUGAGAGGCGCCCGAGGGCCCUGUCAGCCCUGCUUUGAUUUGGAUCCGGAUCCUGAUCUCAGGGCUGGAAAUAGAGAUUAACAGAUGGCAGUGUAUCAGGCUGAGCGGCUGGGCCGGGCCUCACCCACGCCAGACCCGCUGCACUGUGAAAACACUGGGGGUUUCGCACCGUGCCCACACGAGAGCUGCAGGAUUGAAGCAGAAACAUUCCUCAUGUCACGGAAGGAUUCCAGAACUCCACAGCAAAGUUAUUUAUGUAUGAGCCGGCGUGAAGUCUUGCAUUAGUUCUGGGUGAAUAAGGAAGCAGAAUUGAAUCAGGUUGAGUGGAGGAGUGAAUAUCUGUCUCAUCAUCUCUCACUCCACUGAGUCAGAAAGCGACACAACUCCACACAACUCUCAAACACAAACGGCCGACGAACAAAACCAACAGAUGCAAGUGUGGACGCAUGAACGGAGCUGAUCUCAAAGCGCACAGGUGGGCAUACCUGCGCAACACAAUUAGCACAUGCAGCUGGUCAAAAGCAAGAUCUGAGUCUUCAAACACACACACAAAUGUCUUCAAACUGUCUGUUGGGGAUACACUGUGUUUUUUGUCUAAACUGUCAGCCAUUAUGAAAUUUACCAUUGUUAUUAACUUACAAAAAUCACACAGUAAGAA